GGUCCUAUGGUGUAGUGGUUAUCACCUGAGUUUCUGGUACUCAAGACCCGAGUUCGAUUCUCGGUGGGACCU
Molecule: transfer RNA, 72 nt
Organism: Trachipleistophora hominis
Lineage: Eukaryota; Fungi; Microsporidia; Pleistophoridae
Rfam family: tRNA
About the family: Transfer RNA (tRNA) molecules are approximately 80 nucleotides in length. Their secondary structure includes four short double-helical elements and three loops (D, anti-codon, and T loops). Further hydrogen bonds mediate the characteristic L-shaped molecular structure. tRNAs have two regions of fundamental functional importance: the anti-codon, which is responsible for specific mRNA codon recognition, and the 3' end, to which the tRNAs corresponding amino acid is attached (by aminoacyl-tRNA synthetases). tRNAs cope with the degeneracy of the genetic code in two manners: having more than one tRNA (with a specific anti-codon) for a particular amino acid; and 'wobble' base-pairing, i.e. permitting non-standard base-pairing at the 3rd anti-codon position.
Source: Rfam